GACGAACGCUGGCGGCGUGCCUAACACAUGCAAGUCGAACGGGGUUAAGUCUUCAGAUUUAACUUAGUGGCGAACGGGUGAGUAACGCGUGAGAAACCUGCCUUUCAGUGGGGGACAACAGUUGGAAACGACUGCUAAUACCGCAUAAUGUUAUUUGGGGGCAUCCCUGGAUGACCAAAGAUUUAUUGCUGAAAGAUGGUCUCGCGUCUGAUUAGCUAGAUGGCGGGGUAACGGCCCACCAUGGCGACGAUCAGUAGCCGGUCUGAGAGGAUGAACGGCCACAUUGGGACUGAGAUACGGCCCAG
Molecule: ribosomal RNA, 305 nt
Filed under: uncultured bacterium
Lineage: Bacteria
Description: bacterial SSU rRNA
Rfam family: Bacterial small subunit ribosomal RNA
Source: RNAcentral